UGAGCAUCGACAGGGAUAGAUUAUUUUUC
Molecule: non-coding RNA, 29 nt
Filed under: Rattus norvegicus (Norway rat)
Lineage: Eukaryota; Metazoa; Chordata; Mammalia; Rodentia; Muridae
Source: RNAcentral